Molecule: ribosomal RNA, 466 nt
Filed under: Shigella flexneri
Lineage: Bacteria; Pseudomonadati; Pseudomonadota; Gammaproteobacteria; Enterobacterales; Enterobacteriaceae
Description: bacterial SSU rRNA
Rfam family: Bacterial small subunit ribosomal RNA
Source: RNAcentral
GUCUGGGAAACUGCCUGAUGGAGGGGGAUAACUACUGGAAACGGUAGCUAAUACCGCAUAACGUCGCAAGACCAAAGAGGGGGACCUUCGGGCCUCUUGCCAUCGGAUGUGCCCAGAUGGGAUUAGCUAGUAGGUGGGGUAACGGCUCACCUAGGCGACGAUCCCUAGCUGGUCUGAGAGGAUGACCAGCCACACUGGAACUGAGACACGGUCCAGACUCCUACGGGAGGCAGCAGUGGGGAAUAUUGCACAAUGGGCGCAAGCCUGAUGCAGCCAUGCCGCGUGUAUGAAGAAGGCCUUCGGGUUGUAAAGUACUUUCAGCGGGGAGGAAGGGAGUAAAGUUAAUACCUUUGCUCAUUGACGUUACCCGCAGAAGAAGCACCGGCUAACUCCGUGCCAGCAGCCGCGGUAAUACGGAGGGUGCAAGCGUUAAUCGGAAUUACUGGGCGUAAAGCGCACGCAGGCG